RNAcentral lists this ribosomal RNA (415 nucleotides) under Enterobacter cloacae. RNAcentral describes it as "bacterial SSU rRNA". It matches the Rfam family "Bacterial small subunit ribosomal RNA", at positions 883 to 1298 of the family's 1533-position model. The record is from RNAcentral. Lineage: Bacteria; Pseudomonadati; Pseudomonadota; Gammaproteobacteria; Enterobacterales; Enterobacteriaceae.
CGGCCGCAAGGUUAAAACUCAAAUGAAUUGACGGGGGCCCGCACCAGCGGUGGAGCAUGUGGUUUAAUUCGAUGCAACGCGAAGAACCUUACCUGGUCUUGACAUCCACAGAACUUUCCAGAGAUGGUUUGGUGCCUUCGGGAACUGUGAGACAGGUGCUGCAUGGCCGUCGUCAGCUCGUGUUGUGAAAUGUUGGGUUAAGUCCCGCAACGAGCGCAACCCUUAUCCUUUGUUGCCAGCGGUUAGGCCGGGAACUCAAAGGAGACUGCCAGUGAUAAACUGGAGGAAGGUGGGGAUGACGUCAAGUCAUCAUGGCCCUUACGACCAGGGCUACACACGUGCUACAAUGGCGCAUACAAAGAGAAGCGACCUCGCGAGAGCAAGCGGACCUCAUAAAAUGCGUCGUAGUCCGGAU